GACGAACGCGGCGGCGUGCCUAAUACAUGCAAGUUGAGCGCUGAAGGUUGGUACUUGUACCAACUGGAUGAGCAGCGAACGGGUGAGUAACGCGUGGGGAAUCUGCCUUUGAGCGGGGGACAACAUUUUGGAAACGAAUGCUAAUACCGCAUAAAAACUUUAAACACAAGUUUUAAGUUUGAAAGAUGCAAUUGCAUCACUCAAAGAUGAUCCCGCGUUGUAUUAGCUAGUUGGUGAGGUAAAGGCUCACCAAGGCGAUUGAUACAUAGCCGACCUGAGAGGGUGAUCGGCCACAUUGGGACUGAGACACGGCCCAAACUCCUACGGGAGGCAGCAGUAGGGAAUCUUCGGCAAUGGACGAAAGUCUGACCGAGCA
This 376-nucleotide ribosomal RNA is filed under the name Lactococcus lactis. Its description in RNAcentral is "bacterial SSU rRNA". It matches the Rfam family "Bacterial small subunit ribosomal RNA", at positions 28 to 393 of the family's 1533-position model. The record is from RNAcentral. Lineage: Bacteria; Bacillati; Bacillota; Bacilli; Lactobacillales; Streptococcaceae.